RNAcentral lists this unclassified non-coding RNA (374 nucleotides) under uncultured Bacteroidales bacterium. Its description in RNAcentral is "contains 16S-23S intergenic spacer region". The record is from RNAcentral. Lineage: Bacteria; Pseudomonadati; Bacteroidota; Bacteroidia; Bacteroidales.
UCUCGGUUUACACCGGCAGUUUCGUUAGAGUUCCCGGCAUUACCCGCUGGCAACUAACGAUAAGGGUUGCGCUCGUUAUGGGACUUAACCCGACACCUCACGGCACGAGCUGACGACAACCAUGCAGCACCUUGCAGAAAGUCCCGAAGGAAAUCAGCCUUUCAGCUGAAUGCACUCUACAUUUAAGCCCAGGUAAGGUUCCUCGCGUAUCAUCGAAUUAAACCACAUGUUCCUCCGCUUGUGCGGGCCCCCGUCAAUUCCUUUGAGUUUCAGCCUUGCGGCCGUACUCCCCAGGUGGAUCACUUAAUGCUUUUGCUUAGCCGCUAACUGUGUAUCGCUAACAGCGAGUGAUCAUCGUUUACGGCAUGGACUAC